This 663-nucleotide long non-coding RNA is filed under the name Callithrix jacchus (white-tufted-ear marmoset). Its description in RNAcentral is "lncRNA (ENSCJAG00000086718.1)". Lineage: Eukaryota; Metazoa; Chordata; Mammalia; Primates; Cebidae. The record is from RNAcentral.
ACACUACAUAGAGAAUUUAAAAAUUGGUCUCUUUCUGUGUUGAAUAGCUUGGUAUCCCCAUGGACAUCUCUGACACGAGUUUGGAGAGUGGCAGCGACUGUCUUGCUGGGGAAUAGCAAACUACUGAGCAACACAGGCCUGCUGGUGUGGAGCUGGUGGGAAACCCAGACAGAGCACCCAAAGACAUUGGCCAUAGAAACAGGAGCGGAGUGAGGUGAAGACGAAUGGUCAGUGCCAACAAGGAUCACCAGGGAAUGAGGAGGAGGAAAAACACUGACUUAAUUGGGAUGCUAAGCACUGUGGCUGCACUUGUGCAGGGGUCUGCAGAUGGCCUUGCCACGAAACAAGAAUCCUCAGAAGCCCCCAGGAAGAUUGGGAACUACUGAGACAAUGCAGGUAAAGUGCUUCUCUCCCCACUUCCCUGAGCCCAGAGGAGAGGAGGGCCCUUCUGACCUAGGUGGGCUCUGAUUUUUCUCCUCCGGGGCUGCCAGGACGUUGCAAGGAAUGUGCCAUGGGCCACCGAAGGCCCCAGCAAGCCUCACUGAGCUAUUUGAGAAGUCUGGCCCUAGUUUUCCCCCUUCCUUUCUUACAGUGUCAGCUCCCAGUGAGGGACAUUGGCCAAGGAGGACUUCCUGUUUCAUAGAGUAACACGUGACCUGUGGC